Molecule: non-coding RNA, 70 nt
Organism: Ictidomys tridecemlineatus (thirteen-lined ground squirrel)
Lineage: Eukaryota; Metazoa; Chordata; Mammalia; Rodentia; Sciuridae
Source: Rfam
GGGGUUGUGGCUCAGCCGUAGAGUGCUCAUCUAGCACAUGCGAGAUCCUGGGUUCAAUUCUCAGCACCCA